AUUCCAGCUCCAAUAGCGUAUAUUAAAGUUGUUGUGGUUAAAAAGCUCGUAGUUGGAUUUCGGGUGUGGCAGGCCGGUCCGCCGUUUCGGUGUGCACUGGCAGGCGGCAUCUUACUGUCGAGGACGCGCUCCUGGUCUUGACUGAUCGGGACGCGGAGUCGGCGCGGUUACUUUGAAAAAAUUAGAGUGUUCAAAGCGGGCCUACGCUUGAAUAUAUUAGCAUGGAAUAAUAAGAUAGGACUUUGGUACUAUCUUGUUGGUUUGCAUACCAAAUUAAUGAUCAACAGGAACAGUUUGAGGAUAUUCGUAUGAACAUGUCAGAGGUGAAAUUCUUGGAUUUUGAUCAGACGAACUACUGCGAAAGCAUUUAUCAAGGAUGUUUUCAUUA
Molecule: ribosomal RNA, 388 nt
Filed under: Aplanochytrium sp.
Lineage: Eukaryota; Bigyra; Thraustochytrida; Thraustochytriidae
Description: partial small subunit ribosomal RNA
Rfam family: Eukaryotic small subunit ribosomal RNA
Source: RNAcentral